RNAcentral lists this unclassified non-coding RNA (1887 nucleotides) under Hevea brasiliensis (rubber tree). The record is from RNAcentral. Lineage: Eukaryota; Viridiplantae; Streptophyta; Magnoliopsida; Malpighiales; Euphorbiaceae.
AAACGAUAACAAAUCAAUUUUUUUUUUUUCUUUUCUGGGUUGUGGGUUCUAUCAUUUGAAGUUUCUCUGUUUAUGAUUUGUUCUACAGGAAGAACGAUUGUAACACCAAGGGAAACUAUCACUCCAAUCUAUAAGAACCCAUCUCAUUUCUCUCAUUUUAAUCCAAUUCUCACCCCAAAACCAUACCCUUUUCUUCUUCUCACAAGAAUUUCACUCUUACACCUCAAAACUUCAUUGAUUCUUGCUAGAAAACCACCACCAGCACUACCACCAUCUUCAGUCCUGGCAAUGGAACAGUCUGCAGCUUCCUCGUCCGUGAUGCUAACGUCCGGUGCCAGCGGGAGGAUUAAUGCGUUGUUUUCGGUACGAGCGUUAAAGAGUUUUUUAAUACUGAUAAACGCCGUCGUUCUGUUUCUGCUGCUCCCUUUCCGUGGCCGGAGACGGACAGUGCCCAUUAAUUCAUCGACGGAGAAGCCUAAAGAUUUUGAGAAGCUUCAGGAGUGUGGGACCCAGCGGAAGAUGGUGCGGGUCCCAGCGACGAUCGUGCCUUGGAAGAGUAGCGCAUCAUCUGGUGGUGGUGGUGGAGGAGUGGCGGUGGAUCAGGAGGUCGCGGCCAGGAGAGCCCUCGCAAUCCGCCGGGUGUUACAGGAUGAUGACCCCAAUUCGUUGAGGGAGUUUUCGCUGUUUGUUACCCCCAGAGGAGACACCAUUUUUACCCAGUUGUGGACACCUGUUUCUGUCAGAAUCAGGGGACUGGUGGUUCUUAUGCAUGGCCUAAAUGAACACAGUAGCAGAUACAGUAAUUUUGCAAAGCAGCUGAAUGCUGAGGGGUUUAAGGUUUAUGCAAUGGAUUGGAUUGGACACGGUGGGAGUGAUGGCCUUCAUGCAUAUGUUCCUUCUCUCGAUUAUGCUGUCAGUGAUUUGAAAUCUUUUCUCGAUAAAGUUUUAGGAGACAAUCCUGGGCUUCCAUGUUUUUGCUUUGGACACUCAACAGGAGCAGCCAUUGUUCUGAAGGCGGUGCUGGAUCCAAAAGUAGAAGCCCGUGUAGCUGGUGUAGUACUGACUUCCCCUGCAGUAGGAGUUCAGCCAUCCCAUCCUAUUUUUGUGGUACUGGCCCCAAUUUUCUCAGUUUUAUUGCCAAGGUUGCAACUUAGUGCUGCAAACAAGAAGGGCACGCUAGUUUCUCGUGAUCCAGAGGCGCUAAUAGCCAAGUAUUCAGACCCAUUAGUGUACACUGGAUCCAUUAGGGUAAGAACUGGGUAUGAAAUUCUGCGAAUUACAACUUAUUUGCAGCAAAAUCUGAGCAGAAUGAGAGUACCCUUUCUAGUUCUGCAUGGUACUGCUGACACCGUAACUGACCCAGAAGCUUCACAAAAACUUUAUGAUGAAGCAUCCUCAACUGACAAAACCAUAAAAUUAUUUGAAGGAUUCUUACAUGAUCUCCUAUUUGAACCAGAAGGCCAAGAUAUCAUGAAUGACAUAAUUGAAUGGUUGAGUUGUAGGUUAUAAGGUUUGGUAGUGCAACAAAAGAAGUUAUUGGAUAUUUAGCCAAGAACUAGAAGAUCCUAAAAGCCAUCAGCAUCUUUAGGGAUUUGCUGCUUGAAUGAAGCUUUCCUAUUAAGUAGACCAGAACUUGUGCUGCUGAAUAAGAUUCAUCAUUUUUAUGUUGAAACCUGAACCAUGUUGCUUUUUGAUUGCUUGUAAUGCUAUUUGAGUAUCAAGCAUUCAAGUCAACUGCCUUUGCUUUUGCUCUCUCUGAACUCUGAUUGUAGUAAACUAAGAUGCAGAAAUAUGAGAAACUAGCUAAGUGUCCGUGCUUUGCACCUUGCUAUUGAUCAUAUAUAUAUAUGGAUUAAACUUUUUUUUUUUUUUUUAAAAAAUUUUAAU